Molecule: ribosomal RNA, 233 nt
Filed under: uncultured bacterium
Lineage: Bacteria
Description: partial 16S ribosomal RNA
Rfam family: Bacterial small subunit ribosomal RNA
Source: RNAcentral
CGGGACGGGUGAGUAAUGUCUGGGAAACUGCCUGAUGGAGGGGGAUAACUACUGGAAACGGUAGCUAAUACCGCAUAACGUCGCAAGACCAAAGAGGGGGACCUUCGGGCCUCUUGCCAUCGGAUGUGCCCAGAUGGGAUUAGCUAGUAGGUGGGGUAACGGCUCACCUAGGCGACGAUCCCUGGCUGGUCUGAGAGGAUGACCAGCCACACUGGAACUGAGACACGGUCCAG